UCUGAAGCUCAAUUCAAGACCUCAUUGUCUGAUCAAAAAUAAAAUAAAAUUCAAGACCUCGUUUUCUUUCUGAAAACUCCGUAAACACAGACUGAAAAACCUAUAUAUAAUAAGUUAAAGCACGGAUGGGGGUUCGCCGGUUCGUGUGAGACCCAAUGGAACGAAGAAUUCGGAGAAGAAGAAUUGAUAUCAACACCAUCUUCGUUCUCUAACUGCGGAAAUUGGCAACGUCGAUGCCCUUCGCCAUGCUUUUGAGAAACCAACACUCAAUGAUGAUUAACAUCAACAUUUACAUAGCCGGAUCCUUUGUCACCGUACAAUGAUAGUCGUAGACUAAUUAAGUAGAAGGAUUUCAAGAUAUGCUGUUUGAUAGCAGCAGCGAAGGCAUUGGUGUCAGGGACGGGGGGUCGUGAGUUCGAAGCUUUGAUGUUAAAGACGAAGUUCAUAACUGGUGCUUGCUGGCACCGUUUUUAUGUGAAUGGGUGUCAAUUUAUUAAAUCCCAAGUUUGAUACGCAAAGUAUUGGAAGGCGAAGUGUUAUCACUCAGAUGUUUAGUGUUUUCAAGACUAACGGAUAUGUGAACUGUGGGUUAUGAUGACUAUCUUUGUUGGUGGGAUGUGUGAGGGAUUUGAUCUUGAAAAAAAGAAUAGACCAAGAAGCAUUGCUCUCUCAGAUUGUGGGGCAGUCAUUACCCAUAUGCAAUGUUUAUUUUAUCUACUGACGCAAAGAGGAAAACUCCCACCUGGAUCCAUGGAUUACCUUUGUUUGGAGAAACCAUUCAUUUCUUCAUCCCCAACAACUCAAUAUAGAUGCUCAUGUUUCUCAAAAAGAGAUUAGCCAGAUAUGGUUGUGCCCAAACCUAUGGAGUUUGAAGCUAAAUCCACAAGAAAUGAAUCCCUUGAAGGAGUUUAUCUUCGUGGUAAGCGACUAACUGUUGCACUUGCUGCUUUCGGAGCAACAAUUGCGCACAAGAUCACCUUCUCCGCGGAGGAGGAUGACUUUGUAAAGAAAGGGGGCGAGAUGACAUGUUUGAACAUGCUAAUAUCUUAUUUGCUUUGAAGUUACUGGAUUCCAACGAUAUACCUGACAGCCUCUUUGCUUUUUUCAUAGUUCGGAUAUUUCUCAUUUGGAGACAGUACUGUUAUCUGUGUCUUCGGAAAGGAUACAACAAAGAUAGAUGAAUACCUCAUUGCAAUUGGUGAUAAAUCAAUAGAGACUUUGGUUACUGUUGGAAUGGGUGUUGCAAGAAACAAGAUGGAAUCAGCUUGCUUGCUGCUCAUCCAAUCUCCUAACUUGGUAUGUAAAAAUUAUGAUGUGACCGUCUGCAACGAAUUAUUGGGAUUUUCCAGUUGGUUGAAAAUAUGAUCACAAUGCAGUCAUGAAAAGAAUGCACUGGCCCUGUUUAACUCAGAAAUUUGCAAUUUAUUGUCUAUUUCCUCCAAAGAUUGCUGUAUGGACACGUCAUUUACUGUGUUGGAUGGAAAGUAGUUGUUUAUAAAUAGUGGAGAGAUUGUUAUUCGUGUUUCUUGCGAAUCAGAUUCAAAAUUCAGUAUUUCUCUCUCUCUCUUCUUUUCCGUCUUCAGUUGUGGUGAACAUAAAUCUACGCAGGUUAUGGCUUCCAAAGCCUGCAUUUCUCUCAUAUACGAGGAAGGUACUGUGAUUGCUGGCAUUUUAGCUAGAUGGAGAGCUUCAGAUACUACUCAACGUUCGGUGAUGGUAAAUGUACAAUGUAUGGUGAUGGUAAAUACUCGAGCAACAGCGUAUGCUCCCCUUUAGGUACAUGGUAAAUUUCAAAAUAACGCUGAUAUAACGGGUAACCGAUAGAUAGAUGGGUGUUUUAAGACAUUGAAAGUUGGGGUGUAACCCUAAAGACCCAAGGUCCCAAACCCUCACCUCUACCGCCGUUCCAAUCUCAAAAUACUCUGUGUAUCUUUCGAUCUCUGCACUUAGGUGAAAGGAAGAUCAAGUGAUCAAGAUGGAUGAUCUGGAAGUUGUUGGAAGAAAAGUUGAGUUUUUAAGGUUGUUGAUAGAGAAAAGGAAGAAGAAAAGGAAGAAAAAAAAAGAUGGGUUCUCUACGGGGUUGGAUUUUGGUAUAGGCGGACUCGGAAGUGAUGGUCUUUUGCAAAAGAAUCCCCUACUGUUCUUGGGUAACUGAUUACAGGAGCUGAUGUAAAACCAACGCAGGUGUUUGGCUGGAGCAAAGGUGAAAAGGCUGAUUUUUGCAAAAUGCCCAAAGACCUAAAAUUUCCUAGUGUUCUUUUUUUAUAAAUGAUCUUCGGUUUGAGAGGACUCGGAAAUGCAGUUUCCGGAGAUGAGGAUGCAUUCAAUGCUAGUUUCAUUUUAUGAAAAGGUUUGUAGUUGGUAGAUCUUGUCGUAGGUUUGUGGAUUCAAGUGGUCGAAUUAGCAUCUGGUGGAAAUGAUAAAAGGCUAUUUUCUUGGAAUCAACAUUCAACACAAGCAGUGUUGGAAUACUGUGAGCAUACAGCUGCUGUAAAAGCAAUUGAGUGGUCCUAACAUUUACAUGGACUUCUUGCAUCCGGUGGUGGUACUGCAGACAGAUGCAUUCAUUAUGGAAUACCCACAUUCACACCUUAGGUGCAUGGAAACUGGGAGUCAGAUAAUUGUUACAGGAGCAGGCGAUGAAACACUUAGGUUUUGGAAUGUAUUUUCUUCUCCAAAAUCUCAUAUAACAAUCCAGAAGAUGUUGCUUUGCUAAAUGCUUUGGUAACUGCAAGGGGCAAGCAUAAUGUUAUGGCCAAGAACUAUUCACUCUUCUAAGUCAUAAAGCUAGAAUAAAUUGGAUCAAGAAUGAAGCUGCCGAUACAAAAAUAUUUCAUGCUAACUUGAAGAUCAGACAAGUGCAGAAUACUAUUAGUGAUUGGAAGAGAACAAAUUCAAAUACCAGGAAGUAGAAUUUGAUGAAGAUGUGUUUAGUGCAGUUCCUAAAGUAAUCAGUGAGGCAGAUAAUGAAACGAUGGAGGUUGCACCUGAUUUGGAUGAGAUUAAAAUGGCUGUUUUUGACCUCAAUCUGAAUGGAGCUCCAGGGCCAGAUGGUUUCCCAGGCUGUUUCUAUAGGGCGAGUUGGCAUAUUAUUGGGUCUGAUCUUGUUGAUGCUUUGAUAUUCUGUUGGAGUAAUAAGUUCAUCCCUAAAGGCUUAAAUUCUAAACUCUUGAUUCUGAUACCGGGUGCUAAGAAGACUUCUCAGUCCAGGCCAAUAGGUCUUUACCAAGAAAGAUGCCUGCAAGAGGAUAUAUUGCUUGCUUCUGAACUUGUGAAGAGGAGAGGUGGGAGGGAGUGUGGGUCUAAAACUGGAAGUUACCCAAGCAUAUGAUUCAUUAAGAUACAUUCAUUGAAAUUCAUUAAAACUGGAAUUUCAUUUUUGAAGCUCUGAAACAUUUUGGUCUUUCUCCUUUCUGUACGUGGUUGUUGGUGUUAUUUAAACUUCAAGGAUCUCUAUCGCACUAAAUGGUGGUAACAAACGUAUUUAGACAA
Molecule: RNA transcript, 3492 nt
Organism: Papaver somniferum (opium poppy)
Lineage: Eukaryota; Viridiplantae; Streptophyta; Magnoliopsida; Ranunculales; Papaveraceae
Exons: 11
Source: RefSeq, a predicted model, not a curated record